This 468-nucleotide ribosomal RNA is filed under the name uncultured bacterium. Its description in RNAcentral is "partial 16S ribosomal RNA". It matches the Rfam family "Bacterial small subunit ribosomal RNA", at positions 28 to 507 of the family's 1533-position model. The record is from RNAcentral.
GACGAACGCUGGCGGCGUGCUUAACACAUGCAAGUCGAACGGAAAGGCCCUGCUUUUGUGGGGUGCUCGAGUGGCGAACGGGUGAGUAACACGUGAGUAACCUGCCCUUGACUUUGGGAUAACUUCAGGAAACUGGGGCUAAUACCGGAUAGGAGCUCCUGCUGCAUGGUGGGGGUUGGAAAGUUUCGGCGGUUGGGGAUGGACUCGCGGCUUAUCAGCUUGUUGGGGGGGUAGUGGCUUACCAAGGCUUUGACGGGUAGCCGGCCUGAGAGGGUGACCGGCCACAUUGGGACUGAGAUACGGCCCAGACUCCUACGGGAGGCAGCAGUGGGGAAUUUUGCACAAUGGGCGGAAGCCUGAUGCAGCAACGCCGCGUGCGGGAUGACGGCCUUCGAGUUGUAAACCGCUUUCGCCUGUGACGAAGCGUGAGUGACGGUAAUGGGUAAAGAAGCACCGGCUAACUACGUG